AUUGAACGCUGGCGGCAGGCCUAACACAUGCAAGUCGAGCGGACGAAGGGAGCUUGCUCCUGGAUUCAGCGGCGGACGGGUGAGUAAUGCCUAGGAAUCUGCCUGGUAGUGGGGGAUAACGUCCGGAAACGGGCGCUGAUACCGCAUACGUCCUGAGGGAGAAAGUGGGGGAUCUUCGGACCUCACGCUAUCAGAUGAGCCUAGGUCGGAUUAGCUAGUUGGUGGGGUAAAGGCCUACCAAGGCGACGAUCCGUAACUGGUCUGAGAGGAUGAUCAGUCACACUGGAACUGAGACACGGUCCAGACUCCUACGGGAGGCAGCAGUGGGGAAUAUUGGACAAUGGGCGAAAGCCUGAUCCAGCCAUGCCGCGUGUGUGAAGAAGGUCUUCGGAUUGUAAAGCACUUUAAGUUGGGAGGAAGGGCAGUAAGUUAAUACCUUGCUGUUUUGACGUUACCAACAGAAUAAGCACCGGCUAACUUCGUG
RNAcentral lists this ribosomal RNA (484 nucleotides) under uncultured bacterium. RNAcentral describes it as "partial 16S ribosomal RNA". It matches the Rfam family "Bacterial small subunit ribosomal RNA", at positions 30 to 507 of the family's 1533-position model. The record is from RNAcentral.